AACGCCGCGUGGAGGAAGAAGGUCUUCGGAUCGUAAACUCCUGUCAGGUGGGACGAAGGUGCGUCGGCAAACAGUCGGCGUACUUGACGGUACCGCCAGAGGAAGCCCCGGCUAACUCCGUGCCAGCAACGGCGGUGACUGAGCGGGCUGGCAAGGCGCAUA
Molecule: ribosomal RNA, 162 nt
Filed under: uncultured bacterium
Lineage: Bacteria
Description: partial 16S ribosomal RNA
Rfam family: Bacterial small subunit ribosomal RNA
Source: RNAcentral